GUGGGGAGAAGACUCCACAGGCAGUUUGUGGGGACAGAAGCGAGUGCCUCUUGCUAGGGAUGGGCUGUGUGAGGCAGGCUCUAGAGCCCCUGCGGGUCCCGUCUGGCCCCGGCAGCAGCUGCCCUCUGUUUAGCUCUGAGCUCCUGGUGUGACCACACUGGGUCCUGACACUGCCCUCUGAGGAGGGACUGCAGCACCCCAAAUGCAGACGGAGAAGUUAGAGGAAGCCCACUCUGGCCACUGAGUGGAGAGGACAAUGGGAGCUAGCAUGGAUGUGGGGAGACUGCUGACUGUUGCAGAAGCCUGAAAAGAGGUGAUGCCUAUGGUUGGUGUUUACAGACUCAUCCUCCAACUCCAGGGGUUUUGCCUGGUCUCCUCCCUAUGCAGGAGGAGAAGGGCUCAGCCCAGCUGCAGGCAUGCCAAAGAGAAGGCUCACCCAGCACCAUUCUCUGCCCACCCCUGCUGCUGGUUGCAAGUGACAGAAACCCGACUGGACUUAGGCUCCAAGAGGCAUCUAUUGGCUCAAAUGAGCAGCAGCUCAGACCUACAGGAUCUUGGGCACAGCAGGGUUCUGCUGGCUGCUGGCUUGGUUCAUGCCCACAAAGCCCUUCUGUUCCUAGUGGCCUUGGCAGCUCCAAGCUUUUCUUUCCUCAUAGGUCCAGGAAAGUUCCCAGAAUGAAGCCUCAGUGAACCAGAUUGGAUUGUGUGGCCCCCUUGAACCCGUCACUGUGGCCCUAUAGUUGGCUGGGAUCAGGGACCUCUCCAGAGUGAGUAGGUGGAAUUGGGGAAGUGGUUUCCCCAAAGAAAAUCCAGGUGCAGUUUUCAAACAAGUAGGCCUGGAUGCAGGACAGGUCAAACCCACCAGGAGCCACUGCAGCCCCAAUGUGCACCUCAACAGCCAGCACAGCCCACCCGCUGUCCACUUUCCCCCACAUCUAGCUGGGACCAAAUGCUCAGCAUGCACAAGGCAGGAAUCCACAUGCUUACCCGCUGAGCUCCUUUAUGACGUGGGAAGGCUGCUGUCCCCCAUCUACACAUAUGGACGUAGCAGCAAGUCAGGGGCUGACCUGACCAAGGCCACAGCCAGGUGGUGGCAGGGCCCAGUUUCCAGAGCAAGUGGUGCGGCUCCCCUGUGGGCACUGCAACCCAUGCUCUGCCAUGUGGCACAGUGGGUAGUGUGGAGAUGCCUGCACUCAGGACCCUGUGGGGCCAACAGGCCACCCUACAGCCAUGUCUCCCUGGUACCCAGUGUUCUUUGCACACUGUACUCUUGCUCCAAAGACACCUCCACACCAGGCCUUUCCUCAUGCUGUGCUCCUGGCCAAGAGGGUCCCCACCUGGCCCUUUCCUCUUUCUUUAUUUUUAUUUUUAUUUUAUUUUAAUUUUGUAGAGGUGGGGUCUCCCUAUCUUGGCCAGGCUAGUCUCAAACUCUUGGACUCAAGUGAUCCUCCUGCCUCAGCCUCCCAAAGUGCUGGGAUUAAGGCAUAAGCCAUUGUGCCCGGCCACCAUUCAUUUUUCAAGGCCCAAGCUCCUUCUCCCCUCCUCCAGGAAGCCUCUCUGCAGCCCCCACCCCACCCCAGGAGCCCUCCUUGGCUUCCUUUCCCUUUGACCACUCUGGGCUCAGGUCUGUCACCACCCCACUCCCGAUCUGGAGACAAAACCAGGUCAAUGUCAAUACUUUAUUGCCCAAAAGACAGAGUAGCAGAGUCCCUCCCCCUGCCCGCCACCUGCCCACACACAUGCAAGCAAUCCCUGGAGUACUGGGGGGAGUUGGCACCGCCUCCUUCUGGGGCUGCAAACUCAGAUGACUUCAGGGGCCAAGUAGUUGAUGGAGGUAAAUAGUGAGAUGGGCUGAGUGCCGGAACAGGCGAGGGCUGCAGCAGCAGUGAGCGGUGGAAUGCAUGCACAUGUUAUUGGGAGAGUGUGGAGUGAACAAGACCUUUCAAAAGUGUGAAGAUCCCAGCCAGCAGGCCUCCAGUUUGCAGUCCCUGGCUCAGUCCAGCUCCUACCACUCCCAGAAUGCUGCUUGUCACCCUGGGGGUCACAGUCAGGUCACCAAAGAUGUUCCCAAGUAUAGGAGCUCUCUCCAGGGCCAUAGCCUCUGGAAAAGCCACCCCUGGCACCCUCUUUUUAAGGCCUAGCAGCCCUUGCCCCCCACUGCCCUGCCAAGAAGGAGGGCAGCAAGAGAUCAGCCUCCUGCUUCCCUGGAGAUGAGGUAAGCAGCCCAAGUUUUCUUAUUGUGCUAAAAACACCUGGGCUAAAGUGGGGAAGCUGGGUUUCCCUCCCCCAUUCCUGAUGUAAUGGGGCAGCACCCCUCUCUGUCUACCAUAUGGUGUCAGGAGAGGCCAGCUGUGAAACAGAAGAUUGAAAUGUAAUCCAGGGUCUCAACAUACAAUACCCCAAACUUUCAAGAUCCAAUAAGAAAAUCACCUGUCACAGCAAGAACCAGAGAAAUGUCAUCUGUACCAGAAAAUACAAUCAGCAUAUACCAAUACUGGUAUAUGUUGAACAGGAAGGAAUAUCAGGAUUACCUGAUGAGGCUUUUAAAGCAGCCAUCAUAAAGGUGCUUUGAUGAGCAAUUAUGAACAUGCUUGAAACAAAUGAAAAUAAAGAAUGUCUCAGCAAGGAAACAGAAGUUGUAAAGAGAACCAAAUGGACAUUUUAGAAUUUUAAAAAAACAUACAAUAACCAGAAUAAAAACUUAAUCGAUAACUCCAAAGCAGAACAGAGGGGACAAAGGAAAGAGGCAGUGAACCUGGAAAUAGAGCAAUAUAAACCACCCAGUCUGAAACAGACAGAAAAUAGACUAGGGGUGGGAGAAAAGAGUUCUCUGAGAGAUAACAAAAGAUCUAACAUUCAUGUCAUCCAAUUGCCAGGAGGAGAAGAGAAAGAGGACAAAGCCAAAAAAAAUAUUGAAGAAGCAAACUCCUAAACUUGGCAAAAGACAUAAAUGUAAGGAUUCAGGAAGCUGAAUGAACUCCAAACAUUAUAAACCCAAAGAAAUCCACACCAAGACAUAUCACAGUCAGACUUCCAAAAACUAAACAACAACAACAAACCCCAAUUUUGAAAGCAGCCAUGUAACCACCUUCCAAAAAACAUGGAUGUCUCAUCAGAAAGCAUGGAGGCAAGAAAUAAGUGGAACGUUUUUAAGUGCCGUAAGAAAAGAGCUGUCAACCAUAAAUUCUAUACCCAGUGAAACUAUCCCUUAGGAAUGAGGAGGAAUCAAGACCUUCUCAGGUGAAGGGAAAAGUAAGUUUGUUGCCAGCAAACCUACUGUGAAAGGAGGGCCAAAGGAAGUUCUUCUCAUGGAAAGAAAGUGAUAAUGAAGGAAUCUUGAGACAUCAGGAAGAAAGUACAAUGGAAAGAGCAAAACUAUGGGUAAAUACAACGGACCCCUUCUCUGAAGGUUUCUAAGUUACAAUUGGUGGUCGAAGCAAAAAUUAUAGCAUUGUCGAGUGUCUCAAUGUAUGUAGAAAAAAUGUUUAAGAUAAUUAUAUUAUAAAUGGGGGAGGAAAAGGGACACAAAGAGAGGUAAGCUUUCUACAUGUCACUUGAAAUGGUAAAAUGUUGAUGGCAGUAGACUGUGAUAAGUACAUAUGUAUAAUGCAAUAUGGCAGCCACUAGAAAUCUAUACAAAGAUAUACACUAAAAACACUGUACAUAAACCAAAAUAGAUGCUUAAAUAUGUCCAAGUAACACACAGCAAGGCAGAAAAAAGAAAAUAGAGAAACACUACCACCAACAAACACAGGAACAAACAAAGCAAAAAAUAAAA
Molecule: long non-coding RNA, 3778 nt
Organism: Symphalangus syndactylus (siamang)
Lineage: Eukaryota; Metazoa; Chordata; Mammalia; Primates; Hylobatidae
Source: RefSeq, a predicted model, not a curated record